RNAcentral lists this transfer RNA (72 nucleotides) under Camelus bactrianus (Bactrian camel). It matches the Rfam family "tRNA". From Rfam's summary of the family: Transfer RNA (tRNA) molecules are approximately 80 nucleotides in length. Their secondary structure includes four short double-helical elements and three loops (D, anti-codon, and T loops). Further hydrogen bonds mediate the characteristic L-shaped molecular structure. tRNAs have two regions of fundamental functional importance: the anti-codon, which is responsible for specific mRNA codon recognition, and the 3' end, to which the tRNAs corresponding amino acid is attached (by aminoacyl-tRNA synthetases). tRNAs cope with the degeneracy of the genetic code in two manners: having more than one tRNA (with a specific anti-codon) for a particular amino acid; and 'wobble' base-pairing, i.e. permitting non-standard base-pairing at the 3rd anti-codon position. Lineage: Eukaryota; Metazoa; Chordata; Mammalia; Artiodactyla; Camelidae. The record is from Rfam by way of RNAcentral. RNAcentral also lists the same sequence under 2 other names.
GGCGGUAUAGCUCAGUGGUAGAGCACAUGCUUAGUAUGUGCAAGAUCCGGGGUUCAAUCUCCAGUACCCCCA